GACGAACGCUGGCGGCGUGCUUAACACAUGCAAGUCGAACGGAAAGGCCCUGCUUUUGUGGGGUGCUCGAGUGGCGAACGGGUGAGUAACACGUGAGUAACCUGCCCUUGACUUUGGGAUAACUUCAGGAAACUGGGGCUAAUACCGGAUAGGAGCUCCUGCUGCAUGGUGGGGGUUGGAAAGUUUCGGCGGUUGGGGAUGGACUCGCGGCUUAUCAGCUUGUUGGUGGGGUAGUGGCUUACCAAGGCUUUGACGGGUAGCCGGCCUGAGAGGGUGACCGGCCACAUUGGGACUGAGAUACGGCCCAGACUCCUACGGGAGGCAGCAGUGGGGAAUAUUGCACAAUGGGCGGAAGCCUGAUGCAGCAAAGCCGCGUGCGGGAUGACGGCAUUCGGGUUGUAAACCGCUGUCGCCUGUGACGAAGCGUGAGUGACGGUAAUGGGUAAAGAAGCACCGGCUAACUACGUG
This 468-nucleotide ribosomal RNA is filed under the name uncultured bacterium. RNAcentral's name for it is "partial 16S ribosomal RNA". It matches the Rfam family "Bacterial small subunit ribosomal RNA", at positions 28 to 507 of the family's 1533-position model. The record is from RNAcentral.